UACGGGGGGGGCAAGCGUUGUUCGGAAUUACUGGGCGUAAAGGGCUCGUAGGUGGCCAACUAAGUCAGACGUGAAAUCCCUCGGCUCAACCGGGGAACUGCGUCUGAUACUGGGUGGCUUGAAUCCGGGAGAGGGAUGCGGAAUUCCAGGUGUAGCGGUGAAAUGCGUAGAGAUCGGGAAGAACAUCAGUGGCGAAGGCGGCCUGCUGGGCUGUUGCUGACGCUGAGGCGCGACAGCGUGGGGAGCAAACAGG
RNAcentral lists this ribosomal RNA (253 nucleotides) under uncultured bacterium. RNAcentral describes it as "partial 16S ribosomal RNA". It matches the Rfam family "Bacterial small subunit ribosomal RNA", at positions 524 to 776 of the family's 1533-position model. The record is from RNAcentral.